This 874-nucleotide ribosomal RNA is filed under the name uncultured Alphaproteobacteria bacterium. RNAcentral's name for it is "bacterial SSU rRNA". It matches the Rfam family "Bacterial small subunit ribosomal RNA", at positions 615 to 1500 of the family's 1533-position model. The record is from RNAcentral. Lineage: Bacteria; Pseudomonadati; Pseudomonadota; Alphaproteobacteria.
CUGGAACUGCCAUCAAAACUUUUCAGCUAGAGUUUGAUAGAGGAAAGCAGAAUCUCUAGUGUAGAGGUGAAAUUCGUAGAUAUUAGAAAGAAUACCAAUUGCGAAGGCAGCUUUCUGGAUCAUUACUGACACUGAGGAACGAAAGCAUGGGUAGCGAAGAGGAUUAGAUACCCUCGUAGUCCAUGCCGUAAACGAUGUGUGUUAGACGUUGGAAAUUUAUUUUCAGUGUCGCAGCGAAAGCGAUAAACACACCGCCUGGGGAGUACGACCGCAAGGUUAAAACUCAAAUGAAUUGACGGGGACCCGCACAAGUAGUGGAGCAUGUGGUUUAAUUCGAAGAUACGCGCAGAACCUUACCAACACUUGACAUGUUCGUCGCGACUUUAAGAGAUUAAAGUUUUCGGUUCGGCCGGACGAAACACAGGUGCUGCAUGGCUGUCGUCAGCUCGUGUCGUGAGAUGUUGGGUUAAGUCCCGCAACGAGCGCAACCCUCACUUUUAGUUGCCAUCAUUAAGUUGGGCACUCUGAAAGAACUGCCAGUGAUAAGCUGGAGGAAGGUGGGGAUGACGUCAAGUCCUCAUGGCCCUUACGUGUUGGGCUACACACGUGCUACAAUGGUAUCUACAACAGGAAGCAAGACGGCGACGUUAAGCAAAUCCCUAAAAGAUACCUCAGUUCGGAUUGCACUCUGCAACUCGAGUGCAUGAAGCUGGAAUUACUAGUAAUCGUGGAUCAGCGUGCCACGGUGAAUGCGUUCCCGGGUCUUGUACACACCGCCCGUCACACCAUGGGAGUUGGUUCUACCUUAAGGCAAGGUUUCAAACCCUUGACCACGGUAUAGUCAGCGACUGGGGUGAAGUCGUAACAAGGUAAC